CAGUACAAUAAAAUCAUUCAAGUGAUAAACAUAUAAAAAGUCAAAAAAACUCUAUAUAAUUUAUAAACAUAAAAUUCCUCUGGAAUUUUCUAAUUCUCUAUUUAACUUCAGCUACAACUAAAAUCAAACCAAAAUGUGUGGACCUUGUGGUGGAUGCUGCGGUGGCUGCUGCGGUGGCUGUUGUUGUCCGUGCAUUACUAUAUACACGUGCUGUACGAAGAUUUGUUAAAACGUGUCGUUACAGAAGCGGCCAUGACAAGGUCUUCAUGGGAUGCUGCCAUGUUAACCUUAUCAAUGAUGUCCGUUACAAUUCGUGAUGUUUUAUGAAAUAAAGUUGUUUGUAUAAAAUGUACAAAA
Long non-coding RNA from Danaus plexippus (monarch butterfly), 357 nucleotides. RefSeq lists it as uncharacterized. The transcript is spliced from 2 exons. The record is from RefSeq and is a predicted model, not a curated record. NCBI's taxonomy places the organism in Eukaryota, Metazoa, Arthropoda, Insecta, Lepidoptera, Nymphalidae.